UCCUGGCUCACGGAUGAACGCUGGCGGCGUGCCUAACACAUGCAAGUCGAACGGGGCGCGCAGGCGUGAGGCUUUUCGGAGCGGAAGCCGGCGCUGCCCAGUGGCGGACGGGUGAGUAACGCGUGGGCAACCUGCCCUGCACUGGGGGACAACAGCCGGAAACGGCUGCUAAUACCGCAUAUGCCCGCAGCCCCGCAUGGGGCGGCGGGGGAAGCUCCGGCGGUGCAGGAUGGGCCCGCGUCUGAUUAGCUGGUUGGCGGGGCAACGGCCCACCAAGGCGUACGAUCAGUAGCCGGCCUGAGAGGGUGGGCGGGCCACAUUGGGACUGGAGACACGGCCCAGACUCCUACGGGAGGCAGCAGUGGGGGAUAUUGCACAAUGGGGGGAACCCUGAUGCAGCGACGCCGCGUGGGCGAUGGAGUGCUUCCGGCAUGUAAAGCCCUAUCAGCAGGGAAGAAAAUGACGGUACCUGACUAAGAAGCCCCGGCUAAAUACGUG
Molecule: ribosomal RNA, 498 nt
Filed under: uncultured Lachnospiraceae bacterium
Lineage: Bacteria; Bacillati; Bacillota; Clostridia; Lachnospirales; Lachnospiraceae
Description: bacterial SSU rRNA
Rfam family: Bacterial small subunit ribosomal RNA
Source: RNAcentral